UCCGAGUUGACCCCGGCAGUCUUCGAUGAGUCCCCGCCAUCACGCGCUGGCAACAUCGAACGAGGGUUGCGCUCGUUGCGGGACUUAACCCAACAUCUCACGACACGAGCUGACGACAGCCAUGCAGCACCUGUCUCUCGGCUCCCGAAGGCACUCCCGCAUCUCUGCAGGAUUCCAUGGAUGUCAAGGGUAGGUAAGGUUCUUCGCGUUGCAUCGAAUUAAACCACAUGCUCCACCGCUUGUGCGGGCCCCCGUCAAUUCCUUUGAGUUUCAGUCUUGCGACCGUACUCCCCAGGCGGAGUGCUUAAUGUGUUGACGUCGGCACAGCAGGGGUCGAUACCCGCUACACCAAGCACUCAUCGUUUACGGCGUGGACUAC
This 379-nucleotide unclassified non-coding RNA is filed under the name uncultured bacterium. Its description in RNAcentral is "contains 16S-23S intergenic spacer region". The record is from RNAcentral.